This 484-nucleotide ribosomal RNA is filed under the name uncultured bacterium. RNAcentral's name for it is "partial 16S ribosomal RNA". It matches the Rfam family "Bacterial small subunit ribosomal RNA", at positions 30 to 507 of the family's 1533-position model. The record is from RNAcentral.
AUUGAACGCUGGCGGCAGGCCUAACACAUGCAAGUCGAGCGGAUGAAGGGAGCUUGCUCCUGGAUUCAGCGGCGGACGGGUGAGUAAUGCCUAGGAAUCUGCCUGGUAGUGGGGGAUAACGUCCGGAAACGGGCGCUAAUACCGCAUACGUCCUGAGGGAGAAAGUGGGGGAUCUUCGGACCUCACGCUAUCAGAUGAGCCUAGGUCGGAUUAGCUAGUUGGUGGGGUAAAGGCCUACCAAGGCGACGAUCCGUAACUGGUCUGAGAGGAUGAUCAGUCACACUGGAACUGAGACACGGUCCAGACUCCUACGGGAGGCAGCAGUGGGGAAUAUUGGACAAUGGGCGAAAGCCUGAUCCAGCCAUGCCGCGUGUGUGAAGAAGGUCUUCGGAUUGUAAAGCACUUUAAGUUGGGAGGAAGGGCAGUAAGUUAAUACCUUCCUGUUUUGACGUUACCAACAGAAUAAGCACCGGCUAACUUCGUG